CUGGUUGAUCCUGCCAGACCUGACUGCUAUCGGAUUGGUACUAAGCCAUGCGAGUCAUAGUAGCAAUACUAGGCAGACGGCUCAGUAACACGUCAUCAACCUAACCUAUGGACGCGGAUAACCUCGGGAAACUGAGAAUAAACCGCGAUAGAUCAUUAUACCUGGAAUGGUUUAUGGUCGAAACAGUUUACUGCCACAGGAUGGGACUGCGGCCUAUCAGCUUGUUGGUGAGGUAAUGGCCCACCAAGGCUAUAACAGGUACGGGCUCUGAGAGGAGAAGCCCGGAGAUGGGUACUGAGACACGGACCCAGGCCCUAUGGGGCGCAGCAGGCGAGAAACCUUAGCAAUGUGCGAAAGCACGACUGGGUCAGUCCGAGUGAUUCCUGCUAAAGGAAUCUUUUGCUUGUCCUAAAAGCACAGGUGAAUAAGGGGUGGGCAAGUCUGGUGUCAGCCGCCGCGGUAAUACCAGCACCUCGAGUGGUCAGGACGUUUAUUGGGCCUAAAGCAUCCGUAGCCGGUUUUGCAAGUCUCCGGUUAAAUCCACCUGCUCAACACAUGGGCUGCUGGAGAUACUACAAAACUAGGGAGUGGGAGAGGCAGACGGUAUUCAGUGGGUAGGGGUAAAAUCCUCUGAUCCUCUGAGGACCACCAGUGGCGAAGGCGGUCUGCCAGAACACGUUCGACGGUGAGGGAUGAAAGCUGGGGGAACAAACCGGAUUAGAUACCCGGGUAGUCCCAGCUGUAAACGAUGCAAACUCGGUGAUGCGUUGGUUUAUGGCCAACGCAGUGCCGCAGGGAAGCCGUUAAGUUUGCCGCCUGGUAAGUACGGACGCAAGUCUGAAACUUAAAGGGAUUGGCGGGGGAGCACCAC
This 871-nucleotide ribosomal RNA is filed under the name uncultured archaeon. RNAcentral's name for it is "bacterial SSU rRNA". It matches the Rfam family "Archaeal small subunit ribosomal RNA", at positions 4 to 882 of the family's 1478-position model. The record is from RNAcentral.